Molecule: ribosomal RNA, 253 nt
Filed under: uncultured bacterium
Lineage: Bacteria
Description: partial 16S ribosomal RNA
Rfam family: Bacterial small subunit ribosomal RNA
Source: RNAcentral
UACAGAGGCCUCGAGCGUUAGGCGGAAUCACUGGGCUUAAAGCGUGUGUAGGCGGACUUCUAAGUCCCUUGUGAAAUCCCACGGCUUACCCGUGGAACUGCUCGGUAUACUGGUUGUCUUGAGCCACCUAGGGGCGAGUGGAACAAAUGGUGGAGCGGUGAAAUGCGUAGAUAUCAUUUGGAACGCCAAUGGUGAAAACAACUCGCUGGGGGUGUGCUGACGCUGAGACACGAAAGCCAGGGGAGCAAACGGG